UCUCCGUAGGUGAACCUGCGGAGGGAUCAUUACCGAGUGAGGGUUCCGGCCCGACCUCCAACCCUUUGUGAAUUCGACCCAGUUGCCUCGGGGGCGACCCGGCCUUCGGGCGUCGGGGCCCCCGGUGGACCACCCAACCCUGCGUAACUAAGUCGUCGGAGUUUAAACAAAUUAAACAAAACUUUCAACAACGGAUCUCUUGGUUCGGGCAUCGAUGAAGAACGCAGC
RNAcentral lists this unclassified non-coding RNA (228 nucleotides) under uncultured fungus. RNAcentral's name for it is "sequence contains ITS1, 5.8S rRNA gene". The stretch from base 180 to 228 matches the Rfam family "5.8S ribosomal RNA", at positions 1 to 49 of the family's 154-position model. The record is from RNAcentral. Lineage: Eukaryota; Fungi.